This 460-nucleotide ribosomal RNA is filed under the name uncultured bacterium. RNAcentral describes it as "partial 16S ribosomal RNA". It matches the Rfam family "Bacterial small subunit ribosomal RNA", at positions 338 to 795 of the family's 1533-position model. The record is from RNAcentral.
CCUACGGGAGGCAGCAGUGAGGAAUAUUGGUCAAUGGACGAGAGUCUGAACCAGCCAAGUAGCGUGAAGGAUGACUGCCCUAUGGGUUGUAAACUUCUUUUAUAUGGGAAUAAAAUGUUCCACGUGUGGGAUUUUGUAUGUACCAUAUGAAUAAGGAUCGGCUAACUCCGUGCCAGCAGCCGCGGUAAUACGGAGGAUCCGAGCGUUAUCCGGAUUUAUUGGGGUUAAAGGGGGCGUAGGUGGAUUGUUAAGUCAGUUGUGAAAGUUUGCGGCUCAACCGUAAAAUUGCAAUUGAAACUGGCAGUCUUGAGUACAGUAGAGGUAGGCGGAAUACGUGGUGUAGCGGUGAAAUGCUUAGAUAUCACGAAGAACUCCGAUAGCGAAGGCAGCUCACUGGACUGCAACUGACACUGAGGCUCGAGAGUGUGGGUAUCGAACAGGAUUAGAUACCCCAGUAGUC